AUUGAACGCUGGCGGCAGGCCUAACACAUGCAUGUCGAGCGGUAGCACAGAGAAGCUUGCUUCUUGGGUGACGAGCGGCGGACGGGUGAGUAACGCGUGGGAAUCUACCUGGUAGUGGGGGACAACAGUCGGAAACGACUGCUAAUACCGCAUACGCCCUUCGGGGGAAAGUGGGGGAUCUUCGGACCUCACGCUAUCAGAUGAGCCCGCGUCGGAUUAGCUUGUUGGUGAGGUAAAGGCUCACCAAGGCGAUGAUCCGUAGCUGGUCUGAGAGGAUGACCAGCCACACUGGGACUGAGACACGGCCCAGACUCCUACGGGAGGCAGCAGUGGGGAAUAUUGGACAAUGGGGGCAACCCUGAUCCAGCCAUGCCGCGUGUGUGAAGAAGGCCUUCGGGUUGUAAAGCACUUUCAGCUGUGAGGAAAGGCGAGUGGUUAAUACCCGCUUGCUGUGACGUUAACAGCAGAAGAAGGACCGGCUAACUCCGUGCCAGCAGCCGCGGUAAUACGGAGGGUCCGAGCGUUAAUCGGAAUUACUGGGCGUAAAGCGCGCGUAGGUGGUUCAGUCAGUCAGAUGUGAAAGCCCCGGGCUCAACCUGGGAACUGCACCUGAUACUGCUGAGCUAGAGUACGGUAGA
RNAcentral lists this ribosomal RNA (638 nucleotides) under uncultured bacterium. RNAcentral's name for it is "bacterial SSU rRNA". It matches the Rfam family "Bacterial small subunit ribosomal RNA", at positions 28 to 655 of the family's 1533-position model. The record is from RNAcentral.